CAGCAGCAGCCGCGGUAAUACGAAGGGGGCUAGCGUUGCUCGGAAUCACUGGGCGUAAAGGGUGCGUAGGCGGGUCUUUAAGUCAGGGGUGAAAUCCUGGAGCUCAACUCCAGAACUGCCUUUGAUACUGAAGAUCUUGAGUUCGGGAGAGGUGAGUGGAACUGCGAGUGUAGAGGUGAAAUUCGUAGAUAUUCGCAAGAACACCGGUGGCGAAGGCGGCUCACUGGCCCGAUACUGACGCUGAGGCACGAAAGCGUGGGGAGCAAACAGGAUUAGAUACCCCUGUAGUCCCUGUCUCUUAUAU
Molecule: ribosomal RNA, 304 nt
Filed under: uncultured bacterium
Lineage: Bacteria
Description: partial 16S ribosomal RNA
Rfam family: Bacterial small subunit ribosomal RNA
Source: RNAcentral